This 407-nucleotide ribosomal RNA is filed under the name Gemmata sp. RNAcentral's name for it is "partial 23S ribosomal RNA". It matches the Rfam family "Bacterial large subunit ribosomal RNA", at positions 2527 to 2925 of the family's 2925-position model. The record is from RNAcentral. Lineage: Bacteria; Pseudomonadati; Planctomycetota; Planctomycetia; Gemmatales; Gemmataceae.
CGAUGUCGGCUCAUCGCAUCCUGGGGGUGGAGAAGCUCCCAAGGGUUCGGCUGUUCGCCGAUGAAAGCGGUACGUGAGCUGGGUUUAGACCGUCGUGAGACAGGUCGGUCCCUAUCUGCUGUGGGCGGAGGAAACUUGAGGGGCUUUCUCCCUAGUACGAGAGGACUGGGAGGGACACACCUCUGGUGUGCCAGUUGUCGCGCUAGCGGCACCGCUGGGUAGCCACGUGUGGACGGGAUAAACGCUGAAAGCAUAUAAGCGUGAAACCUCCCCCAAGAUCAGGUUUCCUGCCGAAAGGCGAAGGCUCCUGGAAGACGACCAGGUUGAUAGGCCGGACGUGCAAGUGCAGCAAUGCACUCAGCUAACCGGUACUAACAGCCGAGCGCUUGGCCGCAUUGCUCACUCUC